RNAcentral lists this ribosomal RNA (442 nucleotides) under uncultured bacterium. RNAcentral's name for it is "partial 16S ribosomal RNA". It matches the Rfam family "Bacterial small subunit ribosomal RNA", at positions 28 to 507 of the family's 1533-position model. The record is from RNAcentral.
GAUGAACGCUGGCGGCGUGCCUUAUACAUGCAAGUCGAGUGGGUUUAGACCCACGGCAAACGGGUGAGUAACACGUAGGUACUUUCCUUGUCACAGGAAUAACCCUCCGAAAGGAGGGCUAAUACCUGAUGUGAUCGCAAGAUUAAAGGGUAUCCGCAAGGAUUACCGGACAAGAAGAGGCCUGCGGCCUAUCAGCUAGUUGGCGGGGUAAAUGCCCACCAAGGCUAUGACGGGUAGCUGGUCUUAUGAGGAUGAUCAGUCACAUGGGCACUGAGACACGGGCCCAACUCCUACGGGAGGCAGCAGUAGGGAAUUUUGCGCAAUGGGCGAAAGCCUGACGCAGCGACGCCGCGUGCGGGAUGAAGGUCUUCGGGUCGUAAACCGCUUUUAUAAGGGACGAACUUUGACGGUACCUUAUGAAUAAGAGGUUGCUAACUCUGUG